RNAcentral lists this non-coding RNA (24 nucleotides) under Arabidopsis thaliana (thale cress). Lineage: Eukaryota; Viridiplantae; Streptophyta; Magnoliopsida; Brassicales; Brassicaceae. RNAcentral also lists the same sequence under 5 other names. The record is from RNAcentral.
GGGCGAAAGACUAAUCGAACCAUC